GUUUAAAGUAAUAAUACUGAACAUGCCCAAUCUCGUCUGAUCUCGGAAGCUAAGUAGGGUUGGGCCUCGUUAGUACUUGGAUGGGAAACCACAGGAAGACCAGCUGCUGUAGGCA
This 115-nucleotide ribosomal RNA is filed under the name Pteropus alecto (black flying fox). The record is from RNAcentral. Lineage: Eukaryota; Metazoa; Chordata; Mammalia; Chiroptera; Pteropodidae.